CAAUAGCGUAUAUUCAAGUUGUUGCAGUUAAAAGCUCGUAGUUGAAUUUUGGGCCUGGCUAGGCGGUUUAACCGCAAGGUUAACACUGCUUUGGUUGGGCCUUUCCUUCUAGGGAACUAGUGUGUUCUUUAUUGAAUGCGUUAGGGAUCUAGGACUGUUACUUUGAAAAAUUAGAGUGUUUAAAACAGGCUUAUGCUUGAAUACAUUAGCAUGGAAUAACGGAAUAGGACUUUGUUUCUAUUUUGUUGGUUUUCAGAAACGAAGUAAUGAUUAAUAGGGAUAGUUGGGGGCGAUUAGUAUUCCAUUGUCAGAGGUGAAAUUCUUGGAUUUAUGAAAGACUAACUUCUGCGAAAGCAUUUGCCAAGGAUGUUUUCAUUAAUCAAGAACGAAAGUCAGGGGAUCGAAGACGAUCAGAUACCAU
Molecule: ribosomal RNA, 421 nt
Filed under: uncultured eukaryote
Lineage: Eukaryota
Description: SSU rRNA
Rfam family: Eukaryotic small subunit ribosomal RNA
Source: RNAcentral